CUACGGGGGGCACCAGUGAGGAAUUUUUCACAAUGGACGAAAGUCUGAUGGAGCAAUACCACGUGAACGAUGAAGGUCUUCUGAUUGUAAAGUUCUUUUAUUUAGGAAAAAAGCGCGCUAGGAAAUGAGCGCGCCUUGAUGGUACUAAUUGAAUAAGUGACAGCUAACUAUGUGCCAGCAGCUGCGGUAAAACAUAGGUCACGAGCAUUAUCCGGAUUUAUUGGGCGUAAAGGAAGCGUAGGCGGGGAGGUUGAUCCAUUGUUAAAAGCAUUUGCUUAACAAAUGUGUGCAUUGGAGAUCGCCUCCCUAGAGUUAAUCAGGGGGUACUGGAAUUCAAUGUGUAGCGGUGGAAUGCGUAGAUAUAUUGAGGAACACCAGAGGCUAAGGCGAGUGCCUAGGAUAUAACUGACGCUGAGGCUUGAAAGCGUGGGGAGCAAAUGGGAUUAGAUACCCUAGUAGUC
RNAcentral lists this ribosomal RNA (461 nucleotides) under uncultured bacterium. Its description in RNAcentral is "partial 16S ribosomal RNA". It matches the Rfam family "Bacterial small subunit ribosomal RNA", at positions 339 to 795 of the family's 1533-position model. The record is from RNAcentral.